Molecule: long non-coding RNA, 1035 nt
Organism: Octopus sinensis (East Asian common octopus)
Lineage: Eukaryota; Metazoa; Mollusca; Cephalopoda; Octopoda; Octopodidae
Exons: 2
Source: RefSeq, a predicted model, not a curated record
AAAAAAGGAUGGUAAUGGUCACACCUGAAAUGCUUUUUACCACCACAGGUCUGACCUGGGGUUAAACCAUCACCACAGCAACUAUAACCGAAAUCUGUAUCUUCAGCUAAAAAAGAUAUAAUAACCAAUGAGCUGGUUGAAUAUUUCUGCAAAUGUUGAGAUUUACAACUAGAAACUAACAACAGAAUUGACAGAAGCUAUUCUUUGGGAAGGUGAAAGUAUGAUGGAAAUAUCUUGAUGAAGAUUUAAAAUAUUUAACUAUAAUGGCACGUUGCUUGGUAUUUAUUCUAUCAGUUUCCUUUGCCAAACUACUAAGCUACAGGGACAUAAACAAACCAACACUAGUUGUCAAGUAGUGGAGGGGACAAACAUAUAUAUGUUGGGCUUCCAUACAGUUUCUGUUUACCAAAUUCACUCACAAGGCAUUGGUAGGCCAAGGAUUGGGAAAUAAGUACCAAACCAGGACAGUAGAUUGGUAGAACUGUUGGAUUCUGAGUUCAAAUCUUGUGGCCUUCUUGGGUAACGGAUUUAAUCUGCAAUCCAAUUUAAAACCACUUAUAUGAUACCUUGGAUGUAUUUGGUGGAGUCUACUCUACAGCAAGACCUAGAGCCAGGUCACUUGAGUUUGAGGAUAUCUUCCUCCCUCCUUCCAGUCUUGGAGGCCAUGUGAAGGGCCACAGGCACUGCCUUCUCUAAAUUACUUAGGUUUAGACUAAGGUCUGUCAUGAACCCUUAGGACUCAUAAGGCCAGAGCCCAACUUAGUUUUGACAGUGCAUAGGUGACUGAGACUGCAAACCACCACCACCACCCACUGGACAAAAAGUCGGUCCAACUUGGACCCAAGCAACUGCUAGAACUCAUUUAUAGCUGAGUGAACUGGAGCAAUGUGAAAUGCAGUGUUUUGCUCAAGAAGACAAAACACUGCCCAGUCAAGGAAUGAAACCACAAUCUUAUGACCACAAGUGCAAUACCCUAACCACUGGGCCACAUGCCUUCACAACUGACUAAAAUGAUAAAAACACUGAAAGCCAAUG